This 468-nucleotide ribosomal RNA is filed under the name uncultured bacterium. Its description in RNAcentral is "partial 16S ribosomal RNA". It matches the Rfam family "Bacterial small subunit ribosomal RNA", at positions 28 to 507 of the family's 1533-position model. The record is from RNAcentral.
GACGAACGCUGGCGGCGUGCUUAACACAUGCAAGUCGAACGGAAAGGCCCUGCUUUUGUGGGGUGCUCGAGUGGCGAACGGGUGAGUAACACGUGAGUAACCUGCCCUUGACUUUGGGAUAACUUCAGGAAACUGGGGCUAAUACCGGAUAGGAGCUCCUGCUGCAUGGUGGGGGUUGGAAAGUUUCGGCGGUUGGGGAAGGACACGCGGCUUAUCAGCUUGUUGGUGGGGUAGUGGCUUACCAAGGCUUUGACGGGUAGCCGACCUGAGAGGGUGACCGGCCACAUUGGGACUGAGAUACGGCCCAGACUCCUACGGGAGGCAGCAGUGGGGAAUAUUGCACAAUGGGCGGAAGCCUGAUGCAGCAACGCCGCGUGCGGGAUGACGGCCUUCGGGUUGUAAACCGCUUUCGCCUGUGACGAAGCGUGAGUGACGGUAAUGGGUAAAGAAGCACCGGCUAACUACGUG